UUGUGUUAAUAAUAAACUAUACCUAGGUAUAUUUUUUGAUUGUUUAUUUAGAAAUAUUACAUAUUAAACCCAAAACAUUUUUGGCAAUAUUUUCCCGAAAAUAUGGUAUAAACAAAUUAGUUGGUGAUCGAGUAGCCAUCAUCAUACAUAAUUGCCCCACCAUAAAAAAUUUCUGGCGCCGCCACUGAAUAUAUUUUAAUGAAUAAUGACAAUCGCUGAACACAAACGUAACGUAGUUGUGCCAUAUGUCCCGGUUUGGUCGGGACUCAAGACUCGACCUAUAGCUGUUUUGAAUAUAGCGUCGCUAAUAUAGGUGUUUUGGGUCGGCCAUGCAGUUGUCACGGAAUAAGGUAAACUUCCGAAAUUAAAUGAAAGGAUGCAGGAUGUGACCCGGUGACCAGGGCUGUCUUUAGGGGAGGGCGAGCAGAGCCCAGGGCCUUGCGCAUUUUGCUCAAAUUUGGGACCUCGCGUUUGAAAAAAGUAAUCUGCAAUUAUAUGAUGCAGCGGACCACGUCGUCCCGAUCUACCAGUAAUUUGAAUGAAUAUAAUUUACUAGAUGUAAUAAACGCCAAUGCACCACAUUAAAAUAUUUGUGACUAUUUUAUUUUGUUAGCUGUAACUUUUUUAGUCGUAUUGAAAUGCAUUUAAAUUAUUAUUUUGUAUACCUAAACAUAAUAUGGUAUUCACAUAUGCGUAGGUACUAACGACAAAAAUGGCUUCUGGUUAAAAAUUAAAAUACAUACUUUUAAACUUAAAUUGUUUAAUGAUAUUUGUAUUUGAUAUUCAUUAUGGUUGUAUGUAGGUAUAUAUUAUAUAAAUAAAAAACUAAUGCACCGAGACCUCAUUGUUAGGCGAAUCAAUUAUUCAUGAAGAUAUAUAACUAAUAUUUUUUUUACUAAACUCGUCUAACCUUUUUUUUAUUAUUGUUAAACUUAAAAUGUGUCAGCAUAAUAUAACAUGCUAUUACGAUGUAUGAGUCUUAAAAUCUAAUUACAAGGAUAAUGAUAUUUACAUAUUUUAUUAAUUACAAUUAAGUAUUUUUAUUAAUAGUUAAAAUAUUAAGUUUAAUCGUCGUCUGCACUGACAUCUAAUACAGGAGAAGAUCUUGAGGUAAAUGGUAAUCGUGGUUUUAAACGUCGGUUUUUUAUUUUAGUUCCCGGGUUAUAGAAUCGUACUCCGUCAGUUUUUGAUAUCGAUAUGGAAAAACUUAACCUUAUUGUUGGAACAUACCAGAUCUACAGUUUCAUUUAAUUGGGACAUUGAGUUAGGGGUAACGCAAGUACAAUUAAGAGACAAAUAUUUACAUUCUUAUUACUAAUAAUUUUUAUAAUAUCUAUUCGAUUAAAAUUUAAAAAUUCACUUAUACGGUUACAGAAAUGAUGAAAAAUGGA
Rhopalosiphum padi (bird cherry-oat aphid) is the source of this 1391-nucleotide long non-coding RNA. RefSeq lists it as uncharacterized. The record is from RefSeq and is a predicted model, not a curated record. The transcript has 3 exons. NCBI's taxonomy places the organism in Eukaryota, Metazoa, Arthropoda, Insecta, Hemiptera, Aphididae.